Molecule: ribosomal RNA, 726 nt
Filed under: uncultured Ascomycota
Lineage: Eukaryota; Fungi; Ascomycota
Description: LSU rRNA
Rfam family: Eukaryotic large subunit ribosomal RNA
Source: RNAcentral
GUGAAAUUGUUGAAAGGGAAGCGCUUGCAACCAGACCUGCCUGCAGUUGCUCAUCCGGGCUUUUGCCCGGUGCACUCUUCUGCUGUCAGGCCAGCAUCAGUUCGGGCGGUCGGAUAAAGGCUUCGGGAAUGUAGCUCCUCUCGAGGAGUGUUAUAGCCCGUUGCGAAAUGCGGCCAGCCUGAACUGAGGUCCGCGCUUCGGCUAGGAUGCUGGCGUAAUGGUUGUAAGCGGCCCGUCUUGAAACACGGACCAAGGAGUCUAACAUCUGUGCGAGUGUUUGGGUGUCAAACCCGUACGCGUAAUGAAAGUGAACGGAGGCGGGAACCCCUCGGGGUGCACCGUCGACCGAUCCUGAUGUCUUCGGAUGGAUUUGAGUAAGAGCAUAGCUGUUGGGACCCGAAAGAUGGUGAACUAUGCCUGAAUAGGGUGAAGCCAGAGGAAACUCUGGUGGAGGCUCGCAGCGGUUCUGACGUGCAAAUCGAUCGUCAAAUUUGGGCAUAGGGGCGAAAGACUAAUCGAACUAUCUAGUAGCUGGUUCCUGCCGAAGUUUCCCUCAGGAUAGCAGUAACGUUUUCAGUUUUAUGAGGUAAAGCGAAUGAUUAGAGGCCUGGGGGUUGAAACAACCUUCACCUAUUCUCAAACUUUAAAUAUGUAAGAAGUCCUUGUUGCUUAGUUGAACGUGGACAUUUGAAUGUAUCGUUACUAGUGGGCCAUUUUUGGUAAGCA